UGGCGGACGGGUGAGUAACGCGUGAGAAUCUGCCUUCAGGAUGGGGACAACAGUUGGAAACGACUGCUAAUACCCAAUGUGCCGCAAGGUGAAACUUAUUUGGCCUGAAGAGGAGCUCGCGUCCGAUUAGCUAGUUGGGGUGGUAAAAGCGCACCAAGGCAACGAUCGGUAGCUGGUCUGAGAGGAUGAGCAGCCACACUGGGACUGAGACACGGCCCAGACUCCUACGGGAGGCAGCAGUGGGGAAUUUUCCGCAAUGGGCGAAAGCCUGACGGAGCAAUACCGCGUGAGGGAGGAAGGCUUUUGGGUUGUAAACCUCUUUUCUCAAGGAAGAAUAACUGACGGUACUUGAGGAAUAAGCAUCGGCUAACUCCGUGCCAGCAGCCGCGGUAAU
Molecule: ribosomal RNA, 394 nt
Filed under: uncultured bacterium
Lineage: Bacteria
Description: bacterial SSU rRNA
Rfam family: Bacterial small subunit ribosomal RNA
Source: RNAcentral